GUGCUCGCUUCGGCAGCACAUAUAUUUUUGAAAGAGAGAGAGA
RNAcentral lists this small RNA (43 nucleotides) under Felis catus (domestic cat). Lineage: Eukaryota; Metazoa; Chordata; Mammalia; Carnivora; Felidae. The record is from RNAcentral.